This 301-nucleotide ribosomal RNA is filed under the name uncultured bacterium. Its description in RNAcentral is "partial 16S ribosomal RNA". It matches the Rfam family "Bacterial small subunit ribosomal RNA", at positions 509 to 809 of the family's 1533-position model. The record is from RNAcentral.
CAGUAGCCACGGUAAUACGGAGGGUGCAAGCGUUAAUCGGAAUUACUGGGCGUAAAGCGCACGCAGGCGGUCUGUCAAGUCAGAUGUGAAAUCCCCGGGCUUAACCUGGGAACUGCAUUUGAAACUGGCAGGCUAGAGUCUUGUAGAGGGGGGUAGAAUUCCAGGUGUAGCGGUGAAAUGCGUAGAGAUCUGGAGGAAUACCGGUGGCGAAGGCGGCCCCCUGGACAAAGACUGACGCUCAGGUGCGAAAGCGUGGGGAGCAAACAGGAUUAGAUACCCCGGUAGUCCCUGUCUCUUAUAA